GGUAAGGCAACGGGUUUUGAUCCCGUCAUGCGCAGGUUCAAAUCCUGCCAGCCCAGCCA
Molecule: transfer RNA, 59 nt
Filed under: Gammaproteobacteria bacterium
Lineage: Bacteria; Pseudomonadati; Pseudomonadota; Gammaproteobacteria
Description: tRNA-Leu
Rfam family: tRNA
About the family: Transfer RNA (tRNA) molecules are approximately 80 nucleotides in length. Their secondary structure includes four short double-helical elements and three loops (D, anti-codon, and T loops).
Source: RNAcentral